GACGAACGCUGGCGGCGUGCUUAACACAUGCAAGUCGAACGGAAAGACCCUGCUUUUGUGGGGUGCUCGAGUGGCGAACGGGUGAGUAACACGUGAGUAACCUGCCCUUGACUUUGGGAUAACUUCAGGAAACUGGGGCUAAUACCGGAUAGGAGCUCCUGCUGCAUGGUGGGGGUUGGAAAGUUUCGGCGGUUGGGGAUGGACUCGCGGCUUAUCAGCUUGUUGGUGGGGUAGUGGCUUACCAAGGCUUUGACGGGUAGCCGGCCCGAGAGGGUGACCGGCCACAUUGGGACUGAGAUACGGCCCAGACUCCUACGGGAGGCAGCAGUGGGGAAUAUUGCACAAUGGGCGGAAGCCUGAUGCAGCAACGCCGCGUGCGGGAUGACGGCCUUCGGGUUGUAAACCGCUUUCGCCUGUGACGAAGCGUGAGUGACGGUAAUGGGUAAAGAAGCACCGGCUAACUACGUG
Molecule: ribosomal RNA, 468 nt
Filed under: uncultured bacterium
Lineage: Bacteria
Description: partial 16S ribosomal RNA
Rfam family: Bacterial small subunit ribosomal RNA
Source: RNAcentral